Molecule: long non-coding RNA, 358 nt
Filed under: Mus caroli (Ryukyu mouse)
Lineage: Eukaryota; Metazoa; Chordata; Mammalia; Rodentia; Muridae
Description: lncRNA (MGP_CAROLIEiJ_G0005882.1)
Source: RNAcentral
GGGAGUGUCUAUGAGGUAGGACUUCAUGGUGGUUGUCUUUCAGGAAUGACUGCUCUUAGAGACUCUGGACAAUGAACAUGGAGUUAGUUACAACCCUACUCUGUGUUAGAGAGGACAGGAGAGGAGAGGUAGAUUUCAUCUACCAAACUGGACUCCUUGGAGGAAGAGAGAACAGAGACCAGCUACGAGGAUCCAGUUGCUAAAAAUGCCUGCGGGUUUGCACACAAGCAGACGCUGUGCAGUCCUCACAAUGCUGGGUGGCUUCCUCUUCUCAGUGCCAGCAAGAAAAGACCUGGAAGACCUUAUAGGAGAUCAUCUGUCCCUCCUUCGAUGAUCAUGGCCUCCAUACACAGGAGAG